AUUGGCUUGGCCAAAAAGUUCCUUUGGGUUUUUCUGUAACAGGGAAAAACCUGAAUGAACUUUUUGGGCAACCCAA
Molecule: microRNA precursor, 76 nt
Filed under: Ovis aries (sheep)
Lineage: Eukaryota; Metazoa; Chordata; Mammalia; Artiodactyla; Bovidae
Description: miRNA (ENSOARG00000021657.1)
Source: RNAcentral